AACCAACAAGUAUGUAACCAUGGAAUGAAGUGUAUCGGUGCCGCAACAACAAUACCUGUCAAGCUAUAGUUGAAUAUGUGGAGCUGUAGGUGGGCUGAAGCAAGGAAGUACUAGCACCACGUUAGUCACAAUAGUAAGCUGAGUAAACGGCGGUACUAUGCUGGUCCUAGGCUAAACCAUGCUAGAGAAAUGAGCCUAGGCAAAAAGGUAGUAAGUAAAAAAGAGCAAUUAGCACAACACGAAGAAAAAUAACAGAUUCGCAGAUUCAGCCCCUUCUUUCUUCUCCUUCC
Molecule: long non-coding RNA, 290 nt
Filed under: Setaria viridis
Lineage: Eukaryota; Viridiplantae; Streptophyta; Magnoliopsida; Poales; Poaceae
Description: long non-coding RNA (SVIR_LNC009461)
Source: RNAcentral